This is a long non-coding RNA of Mastomys coucha (southern multimammate mouse), 613 nucleotides long. RefSeq lists it as uncharacterized. The record is from RefSeq and is a predicted model, not a curated record. The transcript has 3 exons. Lineage: Eukaryota; Metazoa; Chordata; Mammalia; Rodentia; Muridae.
UUCACUUUGGAAUGGGAUUCAGGAAGAACAUGCACUCCUGGAAACAUUCCCACCCUGCCAUUUUACUUCCCAAAGUCUCUGAGUAGAGAAGGAGCCAAUGGCAUGGACAGGGUGUUCAGCUUGGAUCCAAACCCUGGAAGACAAUGGAACCCCAUUGUGACUGACACAGAGAGCCACUGGAUGGCAGUGUGGGUCCAUGCAGAUGAAGUUUCACUUCCUGAGAGGCUGCAUGAAGAACGUUAUGGAGGGUGAUGGAGAGCUUGACGAGAGAGGUUUCUGUGGACUGACAGUGAAAACUAGUUGGAGCACAUUGAAAAAGAACACUGGGAGAUGUGUGGCUGGAGAGAUGGCUGAAAACAUAGAGUGUUUACUGCACAACAUGAACACGAGGGUUUGGAUCAUCAAAACCUACAUAAAAGCUGUAUAGGUCAGGUGGCAAGAUCUCUCAGAGAGUAAAGGUGCUGGCCACUAAGGCUGAAGACUUGUAGUUGAUUCCUGGAAUCCACAUCAUUGAUUGAAGGGAAGGAAUGGGCUCCUACAGAUCACCCUGUGACUGCCGCUCUUACAUAUGUCAUGCAUUUCUCAAUAAAGAUGAUUUAAAAAAAAAAAAAAA